Molecule: long non-coding RNA, 2948 nt
Organism: Athalia rosae (coleseed sawfly)
Lineage: Eukaryota; Metazoa; Arthropoda; Insecta; Hymenoptera; Athaliidae
Exons: 3
Source: RefSeq, a predicted model, not a curated record
ACGUUUAAAUACGAACGACUGUAUGCUGUGUAUGUAUGCUGCGGACGUACAACGGCAUCGUCGUAUAAAACGCGUGUUAUGUGAUAUAUAAUCGGGAAGGCGAAACAAAUCUAUAAAUUCAUCGUCUGUAUUUCUGGAGGCGUGAAUGCAACUAUGAACAGAGAAAAAGAAAAAGAAAAAAGAUUUUCAAUUUCCUUUUUCAGUCCCACGUGAUAGUCGAGAAUUAAUCAAAAGCUUUCGAAUAUCGCAUCCAUGAAUACGAAUGUACGUAACAAUUUCGUUGGCUCAUCCUCACCUUUGACUAUAUCCACUGCUCCAAAUUGGGACUUGGAAUCCUUCCCGUUCGACGCGGUCAAAUGACCUUUGACCCUGAAUCGAAAAACGACACCUCCCACGUCUGGUUCGAAUCUCCGAGCGUAUUAUGUACCUAUAUAUACACACGACUUGAUUUGUUUCUGCAUAGUUUAUACGGCCCAUCGGACGGAUGAUUCUCGUUUCUCCUGGUGCGCAGUCAAAUUUUAGGUCGCGCUUUCAUACCGGCAUCGCGCAUGCGAUGGCAUGAGGAAUUAAUUACUUUCCGUCGAAUUGCGCAACUAUCACUAAAUACUAUUAUAGAUCAGGUUUUGGGCGUACCACGGUAUACGUACAUGUGUACGUAUUGAUAUGUUUUUCCGUUUCACUCUACCCGCUACGACUAUCGGCAAGCGGUCGAUCCGAAAGAGAGAACCUGCGCAUAAUCAUGUUGAAGUUUAUACGGGCGAAUUAUCGGACGCCGUUCGUGAAAUAUCGAAUCGAAUGCCAGUCGUGUCGUGUCAGGAACAACUCACGAGAACCGCACAAUAGCCGGACGAGUGCACUUGUUCGUCAUUUAUCAUCAGUCGAAAUCAAAUUCAACGCAGACAUGCGAAAAGUGAAACUCUUCGAACAUACAAACUAUUAACUCGAGUCGUUUGAGAUACGAAAACACGAUAAUGCUCCUCGAUUGCGGUAACUAUCUUUCAUAUGGACCGAAACCUGCUUCACGACGUUCGUACGCGAUAGGAAAUUAUUUAUCUUCUCUCUUCUCUUCCUAUAAUUUCUUUUCUGCUAUCAAGCAAAUCGAGACUGCGCUACGUUGGAUGGAUACAAAGAGGAGAUUGAUAGUAAUAAUGAUACUUGGACGUUACGCAGCUAUUUAAUAAUUUCGUUUUUCUCGGAUCAACUGGACACGCAGCAGCUACUUAAUCCGUAACUCUCCGGACCACACAUGCGUCCAAAGGAGAUAGGACUUUUGACAUCGAGUUCUCAUGCGCCGGUAUAUUUAAUGACUGUUAGAUUAGAGAGGGGAAAUUUGGGGUAAUCGUGAUUGAAACGCAAACAAAACGUUUGCCCUUAGGCGCCGGGCGACUCGAUCCGCCUCGGCGGUAUGAGCUUGUGCACGGCUUUACCGGCCUUAUAAAAGACGUAAGGUAUAACGAGAGGGAAUAUUGUCACCCCUAUCAUCGCCCGGUAGACGAAAAACCAACAGAAAAAUUAACACGACCCAUGCGUGUAAACGCCUGACGAUCUUGUGUUACGAAUACGGUGUUAAAUGGUUGGGCAAACAUUGAGAGGUUGGAUGGCGUCGGCAGGCGCCGGAUGACGAAGAAGCGAGCCAACUAGAAAAAGGGUUUGUCUCUUUGCCAGCUAGUCUUAGGGCGACAUUGUUAUGGGGGUUUAAACCAGGAUGUUAGUGUUAUACGAAUACCUACAACAAACUGCCAUGUUUGUUUUCCCACAUUGUCCGCAAUCCGGACUCGCUUGUCGGAUACACCCACCUCGACUGAGAGUCUGAAGUUAGCGAUUAAAAAUCUUUUAUAACUGUACAGUUUUGGAAUUUACAAAAACAUCAAACUUAUACACCAACGCCGAUGAAGGAUCGUUUCCCUUUUUCAGCGCAUCUCGAUCAUCGGCCAAAGAAAACCAAGCCGAACCUCCUUCCGGGGGAAGAAUUUUUUAAAAAAUUUGUCGGUUCGUUCCCUGGUGUAAAAGUCCUUCGUUGAACUCUUCGCCCUUUGCGCGUUUCCCUUUCACUCGCUAACGCUCGGCAUUUAGUGCUGGUGGAUGGUUUCGAAUUGAAAUGCGGUUUGUGUAAAAGAGUAAAGUAUAAGCGGUGCUCGUAAAUCGACGGGGCUUUUGUGGAUGAAUCCGUAACGAGGUGCAUGCGGCGGUUUUCGUCGUUUCUUAAAGCGUUGAAUCUCGCGCCCUCCGACGUGCGAUAUGCGUUAUACCUCUCGUAAAGAUCACCUGAGAGACACGUGUAUUCAAAGACACGCGUUUCCCCCGGUUAUAUGUAUACCUACGUAUAUUCGUCUACAUGAGCGGUCAUCAACGAAAGGGAUUACGGCCCGGAGCCACCCAGUGAGACUUAAAUUCCUCUGUGUAUUCAACAUACAUGACGUCCGCCCAUCGCUGGAGGCUCAGGCAGGGGCCACUUUCCGAUUUGAUGGGCAUCGGACCCUCAACGUGUCAGGGCAGAUGAGAAGAGGGAAAAAACGGUUGUCGCAGGCGUAAUCCGAGCCAACAAAAGAGCGGAAUAACUAAAGAGGGGAAGAAGGGCGUCCUUUUCAAAAAAAAAAAAAAAACACGUGGGGGGGCCUUGUCCCCCGCAACACGAGCGUCGACCAGAAUGAAGAAAAACACGUGGGCCAGAUGUCGGAGCUAUAUUAUGUUCUGGCGUAGGAUCGUCUGGGGGUAUUUCUACCCUACCAUUUGAUCACAUGUAAACAACAGUGAGUAUAUGUGGAUACCAAGAUAUUAAAUUGUGCUGUAAACUUGUGCUCUUCCUCACUUUUUCCACUUAAAAUUGAGAACCUUGAUAGCUUGGUCAGCUAAAGAAUCAAGGACAUAGACUGCAUGUUCACCAACACCCUGCUUCAAUUUAUUUGGUGGGAAUUCAAUAGGAACUUCGAUGGCCCUGAGGUGAUCCA